Eurytemora carolleeae is the source of this 432-nucleotide long non-coding RNA. RefSeq lists it as uncharacterized. NCBI's taxonomy places the organism in Eukaryota, Metazoa, Arthropoda, Copepoda, Calanoida, Temoridae. The record is from RefSeq and is a predicted model, not a curated record. The transcript has 2 exons.
AUAGACCAGGAAGGCCCAACUCAGAUAUACGCAAAUUGUGUACUGUAAACUGUGGGAGGAAUGUAAACAAAUCCAGUGCCCCCAGAGCAGUUGAAGAGAAAGGAUUAAACACUGAUAAACAGAGUGAUGUUACAGUCAAAAACAAAAGAAACUAGUUAAUAUAUUAAGUUAGUGAUGAUACAAAUUAUUUAUUUAAAUAUGAUUUUUGGGUUUUAGAUUAAUAUGGAAAAUUUAUUCAUGCUCAGUGAGAUUUGUUCAACUAUAUAGGAGAAGCAAGGAACCUAUGAGUGCGGACAAUUCAGCACAAAUAAAGUCCUCAAAACAGCACAAAUAUAUGUUUGUGGAUUUAUUGCCAAAAAACUCCAUACAAAAGUUCCCGGCCUUGUCAGAGGCAGUGAGGAUAAAACAAACUGUGAUUGGAUAGACUGAAAA